UUAUAAAACAAACUCAAAUGUGGUAAUAAGCCCAACUAAGCCAUUUUUCAAAUUCACUUUCUCCUUCAUCUCCUUCUCAAUUCAAUACCUUCACUCUGUUCUUAUUAUUAUUUUUUUUGUCUUACCACCCACCACUUAUUUAGAUCACUAAUCUCUCUCCAAUUUCAAGUUCAGGAUUUUCUUUUAGCCAAAUAAAGAGAUCAAAAGAAAAAGAUGAUUGGACUGAUCCAAUCAAAUCGAGGUGAUCAAAUUUGAUGGUAGCGAUUGUGCCGUGGCUCAGUGAUAUCGAUUAGAUAUGAUCAAGACCGUAUGGACGAGGACUAAAACCUACAAGACGGGUUCGAGGCACUAGAAGCAGAAUUGGGAAGAUGGAGAUUAAGGAGCUAAAGGGAGAGAGGAUUAGGUGUUGGCUGGUGUAUACAUGAAAGGGGUGUUUCAGGGCUGGAGUAAAACUGUAGCAGGCUUGAAAUUGGGUUGGGGCAUGAAGAGGAUGUGAUUAUGGAUAUUGGCCAAGACUUGUUGGGUCCAAAGUUUA
Mercurialis annua (annual mercury) is the source of this 535-nucleotide long non-coding RNA. RefSeq lists it as uncharacterized. The transcript has 3 exons. NCBI's taxonomy places the organism in Eukaryota, Viridiplantae, Streptophyta, Magnoliopsida, Malpighiales, Euphorbiaceae. The record is from RefSeq and is a predicted model, not a curated record.